AUGGCCGCUACAAACCCUUCCUAUUACCAGAGUGGUGUUUGCCAAGACAUUAAGCAGAAAGAGCAUCUCUUCCACUUAUACAUGAACCAGAUAUUUGAUGGUCCGGGUGUUACCAACGCCAACCAAGUCACUGUUGUCAAUCCACCAGGUCAGCUUUUUGGGUUUGGUCACACCGUUGCAAACGACUGGACCAUACAUGAUGGUCCGGCUGCCGAUGCAAACCUUGUCGCACGUGCUCGUGGCAUGCACAUGGGUGCGGGCAAAGUUGCGAGAACUGGUUAUUCUGUCAUAAUAUAUUGUUCACUGAUACCAGGUUUAAGGGGUCCAGCCUUAAGGUUCUUGGAGACUUUGUAG
RNAcentral lists this ribosomal RNA (354 nucleotides) under Triticum aestivum (bread wheat). RNAcentral's name for it is "partial small subunit ribosomal RNA". The record is from RNAcentral. Lineage: Eukaryota; Viridiplantae; Streptophyta; Magnoliopsida; Poales; Poaceae.